This 2995-nucleotide long non-coding RNA is filed under the name Anthonomus grandis grandis. Its description in RNAcentral is "uncharacterized LOC126745684". Lineage: Eukaryota; Metazoa; Arthropoda; Insecta; Coleoptera; Curculionidae. The record is from RNAcentral.
GUUCACGUCUGUAUUUGGAUCAAUUACGUACGAAAAGUAACAUUUCAAGAUGAUUCGAGGCAUAUUAGAGAGGUGAGAUGCGGUAGAAACCCAAAUAAUCGACUUUUGACCCACUUUUUGGCAUGAAAACCCAUCUGAGACCCAGGAAUCAUUGACGAUCGCAAUGAAUUGAUGGUUCACGUCUGUAUUCGGAUCAAUUACGUACGAAGAGUAACAUUUCAAGAUGAUUCCAGGCAUAUUAGAGAGGUGAGAUGCGGUAGAAACCCAAAUAAUCGACUUUUGACCCACUUUUUGGCAUGAAAACCCAUCUGAGACCCAGGAAUCAUUGACGAUCGCAAUGAAUUGGUGGUUCACGUCUGUAUUCGGAUCAAUUAAGUACGAAAAGUAACAUUUCAAGAUGAUUCCAGGCAUAUUAGAGAGGUGAGAUGCGGUAGAAACCCAAAUAAUCGACUUUUGACCCACUUUUUGGCAUGAAAACCCAUCUGAGACCCAGGAAUCAUUGACGAUCGCAAUGAAUUGGUGGUUCACGUCUGUAUUCGGAUCAAUUAAGUACGAAAAGUAACAUUUCAAGAUGAUUCCAGGCAUAUUAGAGAGGUGAGAUGCGGUAGAAACCCAAAUAAUCGACUUUUGACCCACUUUUUGGCAUGAAAACCCAUCUGAGACCCAGGAAUCAUUGACGAUCGCAAUGAAUUGGUGGUUCACGUCUGUAUUCGGAUCAAUUAAGUACGAAAAGUAACAUUUCAAGAUGAUUCCAGGCAUAUUAGAGAGGUGAGAUGCGGUAGAAACCCAAAUAAUCGACUUUUGACCCACUUUUUGGCAUGAAAACCCAUCUGAGACCCAGGAAUCAUUGACGAUCGCAAUGAAUUGGUGGUUCACGUCUGUAUUCGGAUCAAUUAAGUACGAAAAGUAACAUUUCAAGAUGAUUCCAGGCAUAUUAGAGAGGUGAGAUGCGGUAGAAACCCAAAUAAUCGACUUUUGACCCACUUUUUGGCAUGAAAACCCAUCUGAGACCCAGGAAUCAUUGACGAUCGCAAUGAAUUGGUGGUUCACGUCUGUAUUCGGAUCAAUUAAGUACGAAAAGUAACAUUUCAAGAUGAUUCCAGGCAUAUUAGAGAGGUGAGAUGCGGUAGAAACCCAAAUAAUCGACUUUUGACCCACUUUUUGGCAUGAAAACCCAUCUGAGACCCAGGAAUCAUUGACGAUCGCAAUGAAUUGAUGGUUCACGUCUGUAUUCGGAUCAAUUACGUACAAAAAGUAACAUUUCAAGAUGAUUCAGGGCAUAGUAGAGAGGUGAGGUGCGGUAGAAACCCAAAUAAUCGACUUUUGACCCACUUUUUGGCAUGAAAACCCCUCUGAGACCCAGGAAUCAUUAACGAUCGCAAUGAAUUGAUGGUUCACGUCUGUAUUCGGAUCAAUUAGGUGCGAAAAGUAACAUUUCAAUAUGAAACUGGGUCUAGGCAUACUUUCCAUUUCUGCAGAAGAAGUCACCGGUAGAGGUUGCGAUCCUAAUUCCUAUUAACAAAAACAACGCAUAAUUUUUAGGUCAUAUUCAUAUUUAUUCAAUAGUUCAAUAUUUAUUAUCAAUCAUACGUGUGCGGUGAAAAAGCCGGUCGGUAUGACUAAUGUAUAUGAAAUGUGCGCAGUUUGAAUAUGUUUAGAGGGAUUUGAGUUAGCCUUAGUUUCUCAAGGGUAUUACUAAAAAUAGGGUUUUGCUAUUGCAAAUAUGAUUUUUUAAUCAAUCAACAACUAACUUAACUAUAUAGAUAUCGCCUAUUGAGACACAACAAUUUUCUCACUGAAGCUUCAACCGCUGCGCUGGUAGGAAUGCACACUUACCUUAUUUUUUUAAGUUGAAGGUCGUAAUCAUAAAUUAAUUUCUUAUCAGAAAUGUAAUUAAAUGUUUUACUAAUUUUAUAAAAAAUUGAUUUUCAGUAUCCCCGAGGUAGUUAUUAAUAUAGUAUCCUAAAUUCAAAUUCACUCAUUAUAAACACUUUUUUUAAAGAUAAUGUUUAUAUAGUGUAUUAUAUGAAACUCCUUGUAUAUUUAUUAAUAUAAAUGUACGAUAAUUAAUCCUUACCCGUAACAGCCCGAUCCAGUACAUUUCGCACACAUUAUAAAUAAUAUAACCAUAUCGAGCGGGUUUAUUGUGAGAUUCUCACAGCAACUAAACGUGCUAACAAGAAGAAUAAUGCCACAGUCAUUUUCGGUUUGAAUUUCGCGUUAAACUGUUUACAGUGGCAUUUAGCUCUUUUUUGGUAUUUAUACAUAAUUGUUUAUAAAUAGUUGGUUGGUCGGUCGGUCGGCAUAUUAUACGGUUUAGGAAUUUAAAUAUAUACAAAUAAAAUGAUAAUAAACUUUACAGAGACGUGCAUUCAAUAGUGUCAUAAUAACAUCGUAACUGAAUAAGUAAGGAGGCGACGAGAAAUCGACCUCCUUUAAAUGAAAUAAUAUAGGAAAAUUUUAAAAUGAAAUAAGUACACUAGUUAUAGGCUGUUUCGAGUCAUUUUAAUCAUAAUUUAAUUUUCGUGUAUUUUUUUUUAUAAUUUUUAUCUGAACAAUUCAAUAGAGCUUUAAUUCCUGGUUUCAUUAAUACCAAAUACCUCCAGCUAUCUCCAAUAGUUUAGGAGAUAUUUGGGAAAAACAUUUGGUCCUUCGAGCCGGAUUUUAGACUAAAAUCCAUAUUUUCCGAAACUCACUGAUAGUAACACUACAUAGUGUUCAUUUUUGUUGAAAUAGCUUAAAAUAUUCUUAAUCUGUUACGCCACUGGAAAGGUUCCAGCAAACCCUUUAAUGGGCCACAUCUGUUUUAUACAUUUUUGCCUCUUAAAAUUUACUUUUGUUGACAAUAAAGUUAGUCUAUGUUUAGAAACCAACGUGUGCGUUUUAUUUCAAUAAUUUUAAUCAGCAUUUAAUUUUCUAUCCCAGUAGUUAAAAAUCUGGACAAUUUUUUUAUUAAGUGCCUGGAAAAUAGUUUUUAAUUAAACAGUCCGAUGGA